UUCUCAUCCAUCAUAAAUUAUCCAUCUUUACAUUUAUUCCUUUUUCAGUUUUCUAAAUAUAGUUUAAUUUCCAUGAAUGACAUAUUAAUGUCUAAUUCUGAGGAUUUAGGUACCCACAAAAGCAAUUCAGAGGAUGAGCUGCUUUUCUCUUCACCAACUAUGAAGAAAAUGUUGGAAGUGAUGGUGAUUCAGACUUUAAACCGUGUUCUAAAUCCAACCUUGGAAAAAUUGAUUCGUAAUGCUGUAAAACAAGAACUUGAAUUGGCAGAGAAGAAGUUUAUAUUCACCAAGGGAAACCCUGAAAAAGAUAUUCAAGCUCCUAAACCAAGAAUCUUGAAGUUGAUGUUCUUGUCGGAAGUUGAUGUUCCUGUACUUACCGGAAAGGAAAUUAAAGGAGAAGGAGGUAAUGCUAUUGAAUUGGUCUUAGUUGAUGAUAACACUGGAGAAAUUGUUGAAUCUGGACCAGAAGCAUCAGCUAAAGUGGAAAUUGUUGUUCUUAGGGGAGAAUUUGGAGAUGAUGAUGGAGGUAAUUGGACAGUUGACGAGUUUGAUAGUAAUGUUGUGCGAGAGAGGGAAGGAAAAAAGCCUCUUCUAGCAGAAACUGUACAUGUGAGACUUAAUAAAGGCAUUGGUUCUGUAGAUAAAAUCAAAUUUUCACAUUCUAAAUUCUAUAUGAAGAUGGGGAUGUUCAGGCUAGGUGCACGAAUUGUUGACACUUUCAAUAGCAUUCAAGUAAAAGAAGCAAGGACUGAAUCUUUCACUGUCAAGGAUGGGCGCCAGCAAUAUCAUGAGAAGCAUGAUCCACCAUCUCUAUCCGAUGGGGUACACCGGUUAAAAAAUAUAGGUAGAGGCAGUAAGAAUCGCCUCUCUGAUGUAAAUGUCCGCACUGUAGAGGACUUUCUGAUUUUGCUCCUAAAAGACUGUGAACGACUCAAAUGUGUACUUAAUCUAAAGCCAAAGAUGUUGGAGGAGACAAUUAGCCAUGCUCGGAGAUGCAUAACUAAUGAACGGACAUACUCUUAUAUUGACUUACAAGAAAAGGAAGGGGUGGUUUUUAACAUUGUUGGAGAGGUGCAGGGACUUAUUCUAGGGGGGCAAUAUCUACGUAUGCAUCAAUUAUCUGAAAGUGAUAAGGCUAAUGCUCAGAGGCUGCUGUUAUCUGCAUGUGAAAAUUGGGAUCAUGUAGUACCAGUUGAAAAUGAGACAUUAUUUAUGCAAUCUCCUUCUCAAAUAUUGCCAACCACGAACCCUUUGAAUUCUCCAAGCCGAGAGGUUCCUAGCACCAGUAAUGGCAUUGAGAAUUUUAGAACAAGUGAUGGACACUGUUCUACCUCUUUUCAGCACAAUGUUUCAUCCGUCAUUCCUGCCAGAAUUGCAAGUGAAAUCAGUCAGAACGAUCCUGAUUACGCCAGUAUCAGUAACAUGGAGUUCUCUAACUCCCCAAUAUAUAGUCCUUCAUUCCAACAUUUUUGGAUUGAUCCAUGCAACUUAGAAGACUUAAUUUUAUUGAAUGCUCAUCAACCAUAUGAUGCCUCUACGUCUAAGGUAAAUGUGCAUAACCGGUGGAAAAUGUUGCUUAAAAUCUUUAGACAGUCCUCAAUGAGAAGAAGAGCUGCAGCAUUAACGGAUAUUCAACCUCUGAAGAAGCAGAGAGUCUUUUGAUUCUAUUGCUUUAGACUGUUAGUAAUCAGUUCAACAGAAGUUGAAAGGAUAGAUCUCAGAGUUCCUCAUCACAGACAAGGAAAGCAUAACCUUCCACUGCAGAUUCUAGUUACUCGUUGUUCUGGUGCUGUAGAAGCUGGGAUUCAACGUUUGAGAAGGCAUGUUGAAACUCUAAUAUAGUUAUAUGUUAGAAUGUCGAAAAUAUAGGUUCAAAUGCUACUCAUGGAUCUGAAGCUAGUAUAAAUACGACGGCCUGCACAUCCAGUGAAAUGCUGAGAAAGGUACUCGUGUGAUAAAUACAUUAACUGGCAGGGACAAUGAUAGGGCUUUCUUGAUGAUUAUGCAUAUACGCAAUCUUUCAAAAAUGUAUGAACAGUGACAACUACAAAACUUAGCUUAAAAGGACAAUGUAGAGCCCACCUUCUUCCUUCGUGCCUUCAGAACUUCUUCUAAAGAUGGUCGACCUGUAACAAGAAAUACAGCUUCAGGAAAUUGUUUUUAAGACUAUAAGCCAUUAGUAUAUAUCGGAUGGCUUUCUGAGGUGCACCAUUGAAUGUAUACUGCUUAAAGAAACUGAAACAAAAUACUACUGUAUUAAACAUUUCUAAAUGAUUGAAGGUUGUGAUAUACUAAAAUAGAUGUCUAUAAUUUGUUUGUGCAUGUGAACUAGAUAGGGAAUUAAGGGUUCAACAUGAGCUAGAUCCAUCUGCUGUUUGUCUCCAAAACCUUUUUUAUAAAGGUUAUUUGGAAGAUACGAUGAAAUGGGA
Solanum tuberosum (potato) is the source of this 2429-nucleotide RNA transcript. It is a transcript of the gene named calmodulin-binding protein 60 A-like, with no coding region annotated. NCBI's taxonomy places the organism in Eukaryota, Viridiplantae, Streptophyta, Magnoliopsida, Solanales, Solanaceae. The transcript is spliced from 9 exons. The record is from RefSeq and is a predicted model, not a curated record.